UGGAAGUAAAAGUCGUAACAAGGUUUCCGUAGGUGAACCUGCGGAAGGAUCAUUAAAAAGAAUUAUACACUUUGCAUUUGCGAACAAAAAAAUAAAUUUUUUUAUUCGCAAUCAUUUAAAUCAAAACUUUCAACAACGGAUCUCUUGGUUCUCGCAUCGAUGAAGAACGCAGCGAAUUGCGAUACGUAGUAUGACUUGCAGACGUGAAUCAUCGAAUCUUUGAACGCACAUUGCGCCUCGAGGCAUUCCUCGAGGCAUGCCUGUUUGAGCGUCGCAUCCCCUCUAACCCCCGGUUAGGCGUUGCUCCGAAAUAUCAACCGCGCUGUCAAACACGUUUACAGCACGACAUUUCGCCCUCAAAUCAGGUAGGACUACCCGCUGAACUUAAGCAUAUCAAUAAGCGGAGGAAAAGAAACCAACAGGGAUUGCCCCAGUAACGGCGAGUGAAGCGGCAAAAGCUCAAAUUUGAAAUCCUGCGGGAAUUGUAAUUUGAAGGUUUCGUGGUCUGAGUCGGCCGCGCCCAAGUCCAUUGGAACAUGGCGCCUGGGAGGGUGAGAGCCCCGUAUGGCGCACGCCGACUCUUUGCACCGCGGCUCCGACGAGUCGAGUUGUUUGGGAAUGCAGCUCUAAGUGGGUGGUAAAUUCCAUCUAAAGCUAAAUAUUGGCGAGAGACCGAUAGCGAACAAGUACAGUGAUGGA
RNAcentral lists this unclassified non-coding RNA (699 nucleotides) under Clavispora lusitaniae. RNAcentral's name for it is "sequence contains 18S rRNA gene, ITS1, 5.8S rRNA gene, ITS2, 28S rRNA gene". The stretch from base 352 to 699 matches the Rfam family "Eukaryotic large subunit ribosomal RNA", at positions 1 to 360 of the family's 3401-position model. The record is from RNAcentral. Lineage: Eukaryota; Fungi; Ascomycota; Pichiomycetes; Serinales; Metschnikowiaceae.